Long non-coding RNA from Gossypium arboreum, 504 nucleotides. RefSeq lists it as uncharacterized. The transcript has 2 exons. The record is from RefSeq and is a predicted model, not a curated record. Lineage: Eukaryota; Viridiplantae; Streptophyta; Magnoliopsida; Malvales; Malvaceae.
UUUAUUGCUUUAAUUUAAAGCCUAUUUCAAAACUUUUUGCUUAAAAACAUUUCAAUUCUUGUUUGUUUUUUCUUAAAAAAAAAAACUUUUGAGAUACUCUCAACUCACGCCUCUUCUUCUCCCCUUUUUAGCCGGCACCGAUCCCGUCAAAGAUCUGUCGCGCCAUGGCCACUGAUGAAGGCCCGAUUCUGGCGACAGGCUCACGAUAAUAGGUCGUGAAGACAUGGGGGCGGAGAACACCGAUGUGGGGUGAGCAAUGCGCGAGUCGGGGGUCUUGCGUGGUGCAUGGAGGCUGUUGGUGGCCAUUGCUAAGGCGCGAAAUAGAUGGAAACCCUAGAGUUUUCGAAUUUGGGCCUAGUGUUGUUGGGCCAUUUGUAACUUGGCUUGUAUUUUGGGCUGUUUUAUGUAAUUGGGUAUUUGGGCUUAUUUGUAAAUGGACUCAUUUGAUGAUCUGUUUUAAUUUUGGUUUUUUGUAUGUGUAAUCCGGGCCAAAAUUGGGUCUUA